CUCCCUCCCUCCCUCAGCUCCCGCUCCCAGUCCCCGGCCCCCACAGCUCAGUCCCUCCGAGCCCCCCACGGACAUGACAGGACAUCCACGUGGGUGGACAGGACACGGCGAGGAUCACGAACCGGGCCAGCGAGCGAAGAGGGCUCCAAGUCUCUGUUCAGAAGCGGAUGUCUCCAGACAAGAUAGGAGACAGUCCCUGUCCCCCCAGCCAUCAUCAUCAUCACCACGGCCCCUGUACCUGACCACUCCCUACGUGCAAAGCCUGAACUAAACUCUUUAUUUGCA
This is a long non-coding RNA of Symphalangus syndactylus (siamang), 285 nucleotides long. RefSeq lists it as uncharacterized. The record is from RefSeq and is a predicted model, not a curated record. Lineage: Eukaryota; Metazoa; Chordata; Mammalia; Primates; Hylobatidae.